RNAcentral lists this microRNA precursor (110 nucleotides) under Mustela putorius furo (domestic ferret). RNAcentral describes it as "miRNA (ENSMPUG00000021728.1)". The stretch from base 4 to 55 matches the Rfam family "mir-1302 microRNA precursor family". Lineage: Eukaryota; Metazoa; Chordata; Mammalia; Carnivora; Mustelidae. The record is from RNAcentral.
UUUUUUUUGGUAUAAGUAUAUCCCACACAAUAUUUGGGAAAUACUUAUACUAAAAAAAAAAUUGUUCAUUUUUUUCAUCAGAAUUCAAAUUUAACUGGGUGCCCUGUAUU